GACGAACGCUGGCGGCGUGCCUAAUACAUGCAAGUCGAACGAGAGCGACCGGUGCUUGCACUGGUCAAUCUAGUGGCGAACGGGUGAGUAACACGUGGGUAACCUGCCCAUCAGAGGGGGAUAACAUUCGGAAACGGAUGCUAAAACCGCAUAGGUCUUCGAACCCCAUGGUUUGAAGAGGAAAAGAGGCGCAAGCUUCUGCUGAUGGAUGGACCCGCGGUGCAUUAGCUAGUUGGUGAGGUAACGGCUCACCAAGGCCGUGAUGCAUAGCCGACCUGAGAGGGUGAUCGGCCACAUUGGGACUGAGACACGGCCCAAACUCCUACGGGAGGCAGCAGUAGGGAAUCUUCCGCAAUGGACGCAAGUCUGACGGAGCAACGCCGCGUGAGUGAAGAAGGUUUUCGGAUCGUAAAACUCUGUUGUUAGAGAAGAAUAAGUGCUAGAGUAACUGUUAGCGCCUUGACGGUAUCUAACCAGAAAGCCACGGCUAACUACGUG
Molecule: ribosomal RNA, 498 nt
Filed under: uncultured bacterium
Lineage: Bacteria
Description: partial 16S ribosomal RNA
Rfam family: Bacterial small subunit ribosomal RNA
Source: RNAcentral